RNAcentral lists this long non-coding RNA (1071 nucleotides) under Coturnix japonica (Japanese quail). Its description in RNAcentral is "lncRNA (ENSCJPG00005012670.1)". Lineage: Eukaryota; Metazoa; Chordata; Aves; Galliformes; Phasianidae. The record is from RNAcentral.
CCUGAUUUGAUGCGUAUCAUAGCACUGCACAUGGAAUGUGAUGGGAUCUUGUCAUUUUGAGUUAUGAUUUUACGUGUGGGCAUUAAGUGUUGUGCAGAGAUACAGACUAGCCUUCCGGAGUCACUUCUGACAGUGGUGCUUUCUGGUAGCUGGAAACUAGUUUUGCAGAAGAUUGCCCUGAACUGUAGGCAUAUCUGGAGGCAAGGAUGAGUAGUGAAGUAGGAACAAGCAGCAGACACAUUCAGUGGGCUAGAAGCCUCCAGACUUGCACUUUUACCUGUAUGGUGCAUGGAUUAUGUGGGAAAGAUGGACUUAACCUCAGAAGUGUAUUUAACUCUGGAUGUUGUCUUGGAAAGUAUUGACCAGGGAGAGCUAAAGAGAGGCUUUUAAGAUCAAGUUACCAUCACCAAAAAUCUCAGCAACAUAGAACUCCAAUUCCUGGUAUAGAGCUGUCAGUUCAAUGACUAAGUCAGAUGCUAAGUACAAUAAUUGCUUCUUGCCGUGCUACAGACUCUAAAAUCAAUUUAUUCUGAUUAUAAACCACCAUCUUCGUAACAUACACUUUAAUUACAUAUAUAUUUUAAUUUUGGAAAACCACAUACAUCUGUAGGUUAAUUCUGCUACUUUCAUGAGUGGUUUUUGACUGGUAAAAUAGGACUAUUGAAGCCACUUGGAAAGCUUUGAAAUAUCUGGUCUGGGUAUUCUAGUCUUGGAAACAAUGAGAGGAAAGAAGCUCUUGGGCAACUCUACGGCAUUUGAAUUCUUGGGUAAUAGAUGGAAAACCCAGGGAAUCUGAAUGUGUAGUAAUGCUUUUGUAAACUGUAGUUUUGUAGGAAAAAGAAAGUGUAAACAUAUCUUUUGUAGAGCAAAAUAGCUUCAAACAGACUCAAAACAGCUUUACAGUGUAUAACAGAAACGUCUCAGCACUUCAGUGGUGCUUGAACCUACAGGCUAAUAUUUCUUUAGUGUCAAAUCGUUGUACAUUUAGUUCAAAUGGAAACAUUACUAUUUCUGACAUUUACAGUUAAUAUGUUUUGUUGUAUACCAAGGCAGGGAUCUUUUCAAAUAAAC